GUCAAAACUUUGUGCGUGCGUAUAUGUCUGCUCUCUUUUGCUUCAUUAUAGAUUUGUGGAUGUCGCUGCACUCAAAAAUGAUAAAGGCAACCAGGAAAAGGUCACAAGCUGGUCCAUCGAUCAGGACAUUUUUCAGAUUUUAACAUUUUCUUUGAAACUUUAGCAGCUUUAAAGGGCUGGGCUGCAGACGAAGGCCGUGAUUGGACAACUCAGAUCAACUUGAAGAUGAUGGGUGUUCUGUUACUAAUGCUUUACUGUGGUGCUGAUUUGAUUAUUUUUUCAUGAGGGCUUUGUUCUGCUUUUCUGAGCAGGUUAUCUUAAAAGGAGAACAUUCUCCAAGAAGUUGAAAUCUUUACAAAGGACCCCCAACCCCCCCCCCCCCCAUGUAAAGGUAAUGGUGAGGGGAGAUGGAUCAGUGCUUCCACAAUACUGUUCAGAAGGAAGGCGUUGCCUUGGUAACACAGAGCUAAAUGAGAAGUUUGCAACACAGUACAUGAGUAUCUCUGGUCUUAUCCUUCCUGUUCUACCUAUUUACCUCCCAGAACCUGAACCUGGUGAAAAGAGCUUCUAUACUAUGAAUCAGAGAGGCAUUGGAUCAGCUGCCUGAAACUUGGAACCUAUUUAGUAACAAAGUAAUGCACUUCUUGUCCAUUAAAGUUUUUUUUUCUU
Long non-coding RNA from Lepisosteus oculatus (spotted gar), 669 nucleotides. RefSeq lists it as uncharacterized. Lineage: Eukaryota; Metazoa; Chordata; Actinopteri; Semionotiformes; Lepisosteidae. The record is from RefSeq and is a predicted model, not a curated record.